CAGCAGUGAGGAAUAUUGGUCAAUGGGCGAGAGCCUGAACCAGCCAUCCCGCGUGCAGGAUGACGGCCCUACGGGUUGUAGACUGCUUUUCUGCAAGAAGAAUGGUCAUUACGAGUAGUGAUUUGACGGUAUUGCAGGAAUAAGCAUCGGCUAACUCCGUG
RNAcentral lists this ribosomal RNA (161 nucleotides) under uncultured bacterium. RNAcentral's name for it is "partial 16S ribosomal RNA". It matches the Rfam family "Bacterial small subunit ribosomal RNA", at positions 349 to 507 of the family's 1533-position model. The record is from RNAcentral.